This 2902-nucleotide ribosomal RNA is filed under the name Escherichia coli. Its description in RNAcentral is "23S ribosomal RNA". It matches the Rfam family "Bacterial large subunit ribosomal RNA". The record is from RNAcentral. Lineage: Bacteria; Pseudomonadati; Pseudomonadota; Gammaproteobacteria; Enterobacterales; Enterobacteriaceae.
UUAAGCGACUAAGCGUACACGGUGGAUGCCCUGGCAGUCAGAGGCGAUGAAGGACGUGCUAAUCUGCGAUAAGCGUCGGUAAGGUGAUAUGAACCGUUAUAACCGGCGAUUUCCGAAUGGGGAAACCCAGUGUGAUUCGUCACACUAUCAUUAACUGAAUCCAUAGGUUAAUGAGGCGAACCGGGGGAACUGAAACAUCUAAGUACCCCGAGGAAAAGAAAUCAACCGAGAUUCCCCCAGUAGCGGCGAGCGAACGGGGAGCAGCCCAGAGCCUGAAUCAGUGUGUGUGUUAGUGGAAGCGUCUGGAAAGGCGUGCGAUACAGGGUGACAGCCCCGUACACAAAAAUGCACAUAUUGUGAGCUCGAUGAGUAGGGCGGGACACGUGGUAUCCUGUCUGAAUAUGGGGGGACCAUCCUCCAAGGCUAAAUACUCCUGACUGACCGAUAGUGAACCAGUACCGUGAGGGAAAGGCGAAAAGAACCCCGGCGAGGGGAGUGAAAAAGAACCUGAAACCGUGUACGUACAAGCAGUGGGAGCACGCUUAGGCGUGUGACUGCGUACCUUUUGUAUAAUGGGUCAGCGACUUAUAUUCUGUAGCAAGGUUAACCGAAUAGGGGAGCCGAAGGGAAACCGAGUCUUAACUGGGCGUUAAGUUGCAGGGUAUAGACCCGAAACCCGGUGAUCUAGCCAUGGGCAGGUUGAAGGUUGGGUAACACUAACUGGAGGACCGAACCGACUAAUGUUGAAAAAUUAGCGGAUGACUUGUGGCUGGGGGUGAAAGGCCAAUCAAACCGGGAGAUAGCUGGUUCUCCCCGAAAGCUAUUUAGGUAGCGCCUCGUGAAUUCAUCUCCGGGGGUAGAGCACUGUUUCGGCAAGGGGGUCAUCCCGACUUACCAACCCGAUGCAAACUGCGAAUACCGGAGAAUGUUAUCACGGGAGACACACGGCGGGUGCUAACGUCCGUCGUGAAGAGGGAAACAACCCAGACCGCCAGCUAAGGUCCCAAAGUCAUGGUUAAGUGGGAAACGAUGUGGGAAGGCCCAGACAGCCAGGAUGUUGGCUUAGAAGCAGCCAUCAUUUAAAGAAAGCGUAAUAGCUCACUGGUCGAGUCGGCCUGCGCGGAAGAUGUAACGGGGCUAAACCAUGCACCGAAGCUGCGGCAGCGACGCUGAUGCGUUGUUGGGUAGGGGAGCGUUCUGUAAGCCUGUGAAGGUGUACUGUGAGGUAUGCUGGAGGUAUCAGAAGUGCGAAUGCUGACAUAAGUAACGAUAAAGCGGGUGAAAAGCCCGCUCGCCGGAAGACCAAGGGUUCCUGUCCAACGUUAAUCGGGGCAGGGUGAGUCGACCCCUAAGGCGAGGCCGAAAGGCGUAGUCGAUGGGAAACAGGUUAAUAUUCCUGUACUUGGUGUUACUGCGAAGGGGGGACGGAGAAGGCUAUGUUGGCCGGGCGACGGUUGUCCCGGUUUAAGCGUGUAGGCUGGUUUUCCAGGCAAAUCCGGAAAAUCAAGGCUGAGGCGUGAUGACGAGGCACUACGGUGCUGAAGCAACAAAUGCCCUGCUUCCAGGAAAAGCCUCUAAGCAUCAGGUAACAUCAAAUCGUACCCCAAACCGACACAGGUGGUCAGGUAGAGAAUACCAAGGCGCUUGAGAGAACUCGGGUGAAGGAACUAGGCAAAAUGGUGCCGUAACUUCGGGAGAAGGCACGCUGAUAUGUAGGUGAAGCGACUUGCUCGUGGAGCUGAAAUCAGUCGAAGAUACCAGCUGGCUGCAACUGUUUAUUAAAAACACAGCACUGUGCAAACACGAAAGUGGACGUAUACGGUGUGACGCCUGCCCGGUGCCGGAAGGUUAAUUGAUGGGGUCAGCGCAAGCGAAGCUCUUGAUCGAAGCCCCGGUAAACGGCGGCCGUAACUAUAACGGUCCUAAGGUAGCGAAAUUCCUUGUCGGGUAAGUUCCGACCUGCACGAAUGGCGUAAUGAUGGCCAGGCUGUCUCCACCCGAGACUCAGUGAAAUUGAACUCGCUGUGAAGAUGCAGUGUACCCGCGGCAAGACGGAAAGACCCCGUGAACCUUUACUAUAGCUUGACACUGAACAUUGAGCCUUGAUGUGUAGGAUAGGUGGGAGGCUUUGAAGUGUGGACGCCAGUCUGCAUGGAGCCGACCUUGAAAUACCACCCUUUAAUGUUUGAUGUUCUAACGUGGACCCGUGAUCCGGGUUGCGGACAGUGUCUGGUGGGUAGUUUGACUGGGGCGGUCUCCUCCUAAAGAGUAACGGAGGAGCACGAAGGUUGGCUAAUCCUGGUCGGACAUCAGGAGGUUAGUGCAAUGGCAUAAGCCAGCUUGACUGCGAGCGUGACGGCGCGAGCAGGUGCGAAAGCAGGUCAUAGUGAUCCGGUGGUUCUGAAUGGAAGGGCCAUCGCUCAACGGAUAAAAGGUACUCCGGGGAUAACAGGCUGAUACCGCCCAAGAGUUCAUAUCGACGGCGGUGUUUGGCACCUCGAUGUCGGCUCAUCACAUCCUGGGGCUGAAGUAGGUCCCAAGGGUAUGGCUGUUCGCCAUUUAAAGUGGUACGCGAGCUGGGUUUAGAACGUCGUGAGACAGUUCGGUCCCUAUCUGCCGUGGGCGCUGGAGAACUGAGGGGGGCUGCUCCUAGUACGAGAGGACCGGAGUGGACGCAUCACUGGUGUUCGGGUUGUCAUGCCAAUGGCACUGCCCGGUAGCUAAAUGCGGAAGAGAUAAGUGCUGAAAGCAUCUAAGCACGAAACUUGCCCCGAGAUGAGUUCUCCCUGACUCCUUGAGAGUCCUGAAGGAACGUUGAAGACGACGACGUUGAUAGGCCGGGUGUGUAAGCGCAGCGAUGCGUUGAGCUAACCGGUACUAAUGAACCGUGAGGCUUAACCUU